Non-coding RNA from Mycena crocata, 98 nucleotides. The record is from the annotation of a GenBank genome assembly. Lineage: Eukaryota; Fungi; Basidiomycota; Agaricomycetes; Agaricales; Mycenaceae.
GCCCUUGUGGAUCAUGGCGAUCAUCUCGUUGUAAUAGGCAUUUCCGAACGAUUUCAGACUUUACUGAGAAGAAGGAGGUUCGAUUCCUCCCGAGGGCU